RNAcentral lists this ribosomal RNA (433 nucleotides) under uncultured bacterium. RNAcentral describes it as "partial 16S ribosomal RNA". It matches the Rfam family "Bacterial small subunit ribosomal RNA", at positions 29 to 507 of the family's 1533-position model. The record is from RNAcentral.
AACGAACGCUGGCGGCAUGCCUAACACAUGCAAGUCGAACGAGACCUUCGGGUCUAGUGGCGCACGGGUGCGUAACGCGUGGGAACCUGCCCUUAGGUUCGGAAUAACUCCCCGAAAGGGGUGCUAAUACCGGAUAAUGUCUUCGGACCAAAGAUUUACCGCCUUUGGAUGGGCCCGCGUUGGAUUAGCUAGUUGGUAGGGUAAAAGCCUACCAAGGCGACGAUCCAUAGCUGGUCUGAGAGGAUGAUCAGCCACACUGGGACUGAGACACGGCCCAGACUCCUACGGGAGGCAGCAGUGGGGAAUAUUGGACAAUGGGCGAAAGCCUGAUCCAGCAAUGCCGCGUGAGUGAUGAAGGCCUUAGGGUUGUAAAGCUCUUUUACCCGGGAUGAUAAUGACAGUACCGGGAGAAUAAGCUCCGGCUAACUCCGUA